Molecule: ribosomal RNA, 496 nt
Filed under: uncultured bacterium
Lineage: Bacteria
Description: partial 16S ribosomal RNA
Rfam family: Bacterial small subunit ribosomal RNA
Source: RNAcentral
GAUGAACGCUGGCGGCGUGCCUAAUACAUGCAAGUCGAGCGAACAGACGAGGAGCUUGCUCCUCUGACGUUAGCGGCGGACGGGUGAGUAACACGUGGAUAACCUACCUAUAAGACUGGGAUAACUUCGGGAAACCGGAGCUAAUACCGGAUAAUAUAUUGAACCGCAUGGUUCAAUAGUGAAAGACGGUUUUGCUGUCACUUAUAGAUGGAUCCGCGCCGCAUUAGCUAGUUGGUAAGGUAACGGCUUACCAAGGCAACGAUGCGUAGCCGACCUGAGAGGGUGACCGGCCACACUGGAACUGAGACACGGUCCAGACCCCUACGGGAGGCAGCAGUAGGGAAUCUUCCGCAAUGGGCGAAAGCCUGACGGAGCAACGCCGCGUGAGUGAUGAAGGUCUUCGGAUCGUAAAACUCUGUUAUUAGGGAAGAACAAAUGUGUAAGUAACUAUGCACGUCUUGACGGUACCUAAGCAGAAAGCCACGGCUAACUACGU